GACGAACGCUGGCGGCGCGCUUAACACAUGCAAGUCGAACGGAAAGGCCUGCUUUCCCUUGUGGAUUGCGGGUACUCGAGUGGCGAACGGGUGAGUAACACGUGAGUGAUCUGCCCCCAACUUGGGUAUAAGCCUGGGAAACUGGGUCUAAUUCCCGAUAGGACUGCAGGGUGGUGCCUGUGGUGGAAAACGAUUUUCUAGUGGUUGGGGAUGAGCUCGCGGCCUAUCAGCUUGUUGGUGGGGUAAUGGCCUACCAAGGCGGCGACGGGCAGCCGGCGGGGGAGGGUGGACGGGCACAUUGGGACUGGGAUACGGCCCAGACUCCUACGGGAGGCAGCAGUGGGGAAUAUUGCACAAUGGGCGGAAGCCUGAUGCAGCGACGCCGCGUGGGGGAUGACGGCCUGCGGGUUGUAAACUCCUUGCGACAGCGAGGAAGCCACCUGGUUGGAAGGGUGGUGACGGUAGUGGUAGAAGAAGCACCGGCUAACUACGUG
This 494-nucleotide ribosomal RNA is filed under the name uncultured bacterium. RNAcentral's name for it is "partial 16S ribosomal RNA". It matches the Rfam family "Bacterial small subunit ribosomal RNA", at positions 28 to 507 of the family's 1533-position model. The record is from RNAcentral.